Molecule: long non-coding RNA, 1064 nt
Organism: Ooceraea biroi (clonal raider ant)
Lineage: Eukaryota; Metazoa; Arthropoda; Insecta; Hymenoptera; Formicidae
Source: RefSeq, a predicted model, not a curated record
GAUUAAUCGAUCGGCGAGUUAGUCGUCGACGAGUCGCAGAGACAGGCGCAACGGCCAGCAACGUGCUCGUUAAUUACCAUCGCGCACUUGAUAGAUAGAUCGCACACGGCGAGAACAAGACGCGAUUUUUAUUCAAGAGGAACCGAUCCUGAAAAAAAAGAUACGAGAACGUACGCGUGUGUAUUCAGAUAUAAAUACGGAUGCGGACGAUGUCAGCGUAGCGCGCGUGCGCGAACAGAAAUUUUACGCUGACACAGCACGCAGCGAACGGGGGAGAAAAGCAGAAAGUAAAAUGCGAGGGUGGGAAAAAAGAAAAAAAUGGAGACUGAAGGGACAGGUGAGCGUCUCUAACGACACUUUCAUACUCGAGUCAGCUUCUUCGUCGCGAGCGCGCGAUUCCGCCGAUAAAACUUUCCUCAUGAAUAUUUUAUAAGUCGAUCCAAGUGAUACAACCCUCAACUGACGAUGCAUCAUUGCGGCCGCUUCGCCGGAUGCGGAUACUCUUGAUCGACAGCCGCUCAAUCCCUCCUCCAUCCCUGCCGUCCGUGAUCCAGGACGUCGUUACACGUGGACAUGCACCACUCCAACCCUCUACCCUCCGACCACGACCAGGCUUAACGUACGCGUACAUUAGGGCAUAUAAAUUGGGGUACUUAGUGCCGAUUACAAAUGCGUGUUCAUGGGAUACGCGGCGGAAACGAUCGACGGAGGAGCAGCUGCCUUGACAUCGGUUCUGCUACUGAAACUACAGCUUCUUCGGGGCGGGACGCAAAGGUUUCCCCGAUGAUAAACGCUCAUACAUAUUUUACGCCCUUAACCCUCCGCCGGCGACCGGGCGGGCGGUCUAUCGGACCCGGCGGCGGGUCUGUUUCUGAGAAUAUAUUCAUAUAAUCAGUUCAGUUUCGGGAGAAACGGGCUUUUGUAGGUCUCAUGAUGUUCCGCGUGCACCUAAAUCAAACGGAUUUAUGGCGCACGUGAAAUAUUCCGCGGAUGUAUAUAAAAUCCUAUUUCUUCGUCCACUCGUGCGUCAUAAGAGAGAAUGGAGAUGUAGACGGCCCAGCCGU